GACGAACGCUGGCGGCGUGCUUAACACAUGCAAGUCGAACGGAAAGGCCCUGCUUUUGUGGGGUGCUCGAGUGGCGAACGGGUGAGUAACACGUGAGUAACCUGCCCUUGACUUUGGGAUAACUUCAGGAAACUGGGGCUAAUACCGGAUAGGAGCUCCUGCUGCAUGGUGGGGGUUGGAAAGUUUCGGCGGUUGGGGAUGGACUCGCGGCUUAUCAGCUUGUUGGUGGGGUAGUGGCUUACCAAGGCUUGGACGGGUAGCCGGCCUGAGAGGGUGACCGGCACAUUGGGACUGAGAGACGGCCCAGACGGCUACGGGAGGCAGCAGUGGGGAAUAUGGCACAAUGGGCGGAAGCGUGAUGAAGAAACGCCGCGUGCGGGAUGAAGGCCUUCGGGGUGUAAACCGCUUUAGCCUGUGACGAAGCGGGAGUGACGGUAAUGGGUAAAGAAGCACCGGCUAACUACGUG
RNAcentral lists this ribosomal RNA (467 nucleotides) under uncultured bacterium. RNAcentral describes it as "partial 16S ribosomal RNA". It matches the Rfam family "Bacterial small subunit ribosomal RNA", at positions 28 to 507 of the family's 1533-position model. The record is from RNAcentral.